RNAcentral lists this ribosomal RNA (492 nucleotides) under uncultured bacterium. RNAcentral's name for it is "partial 16S ribosomal RNA". It matches the Rfam family "Bacterial small subunit ribosomal RNA", at positions 29 to 507 of the family's 1533-position model. The record is from RNAcentral.
AUUGAACGCUGGCGGCAUGCUUUACACAUGCAAGUCGAACGGUAACAGGCCUUCGGGUGCUGACGAGUGGCGAACGGGUGCGUAAUGCAUCGGAACGUACCCAGAGGUGGGGGAUAACGCAGCGAAAGCUGUGCUAAUACCGCAUGUGCUCUGAGGAUGAAAGCGGGGGACCGAGCAGCAAUGUUUGGCCUCGCGCCUUUGGAGCGGCCGAUGUCGGAUUAGCUAGUUGGUGGGGUAAAGGCCUACCAAGGCGACGAUCCGUAGCUGGUCUGAGAGGACGACCAGCCACACUGGGACUGAGACACGGCCCAGACUCCUACGGGAGGCAGCAGUGGGGAAUUUUGGACGAUGGGCGCAAGCCUGAUCCAGCAAUGCCGCGUGCGGGAAGAAGGCCUUCGGGUUGUAAACCGCUUUUGGCAGGAACGAAACGGUGUCCGCUAAUACCGGGCGCUAAUGACGGUACCUGCAGAAUAAGCACCGGCUAACUACGUG